AUUGAAUAGCCGCUGCACCACAAUUGUAUCAAUCAGGGCCAAACAGUAGACAACCUAAAUUUUAUAAUAGUACUUCACAUCUUCACUGGAGUCUGAUUUAUAUCAUAUUUAACCGCAUAAUAAAGUUAUCAUAUAUGUUACUUGAACUUUGGCGGAUAUCAAAUAAUGGAUGUGGUGUUAAAUUUGGCUAUGUCCAAAAACUUUAAAAGAUUUUUUUCACUAAUUUAAAGAGUCAAAGUG
Molecule: unclassified non-coding RNA, 240 nt
Filed under: Hevea brasiliensis (rubber tree)
Lineage: Eukaryota; Viridiplantae; Streptophyta; Magnoliopsida; Malpighiales; Euphorbiaceae
Source: RNAcentral